UGAAAUCAUCACAAGAAAAGUUCCUGCUGGGAAAAGAAAGAUAAGUAUUCCAAGCCUGUUUCCAAAUCAGUGUAGUUGAAAAAUGAUGUUAAUUGAAAAGUUUAACACAGCAAAACUCACAAAGUUCUUUCCAAUGUGUUUGCUAUGUUAAUCAUUUUCAUAUUUAUCUUGCAUUCUUUAAACAGGAUCAUUUCCAAGUGAGUGGCCUGACUUGCAACUUUCCAUUGCUUUAUGGGAUGGGGAGAAGGAGAGAGAGGUGAGCCUAGAGUUCUGAUAUAAUAAGGCAUGUAGCUUUUCCCUUCCUUAUUACCUGAGUGCUUACUCUAAAUUGCUAAUCUACUGUUAAUGAGCUUCAGUCUAGUCUGAGAAAAUGCCAGUUUUUAAAUUGAGGGAGCCAAUUUCUUUAAAGUCUGGAUUUAGGCCCAGGUUUAAAAAGUCACAAUUAAUAACCUACCGCCUGAUACAUCUCUUAAGCCUUUUGGAAUCUUGCAUUUCAAUGGAGUUUUCUUCAUUUCUUGUGGAUGAGUGAUCCAGGAAGUUACUGUACUCCUUUUAAUAAAUAGUCCAGUUAUAAAUCAUUCACUGGUUCCCUAACUGGUCUUGUCGGGAGAGAAGGCAAUGCUUUUGGGCCUGAUGGCCCCUCCCUUCUGUCCAGCCUCUUCCUGGGACCACCUGGAUUUCAUAGAAGGUUUGCUCUCUGGGUCUGGCUGCAGACCUGUGGCCUGAGUGCGUGCCUUUUGGCAGGGUUCACACCAGGUCUGAAGCUGCUGCCUGCUGUUUCUUGAGGCGGAGCAGUGGGUGCGACUGCAAACAAAAAUAAUUUCAUCCUGAUGAACCGGAUGGUCGGGGCUGGUGUCAGCAGGGCGGACCCUGCUCGCCCUUACUCAAGCCCAAGGCCCUGGGCACAAGAAGAAGGGACAAGGCCCUAUCCCUGCGUUUAUGGCCCGUGCAGAAGUUGAACCACUGGAUCAUUUCAAUAGGCCGUGGGAGCAGAAAUCAGAGGCAUGCAGAUGGCGCUAGAGGAGCUCUGCUGAAUCCAACUGGGAACCUGACACAGCCUGCUUAGACGGCUCCUUCUUGGGUGUAGCCAUGGAAACCAUCUUGCGGUCAUGUACACGUCUCACUGGCAUCUUUCACCUCUAGUUGUUUUUGUGGAGGUUCAAGUUGUUAGUGACUUGAUGUUCUCAGAAAAAUGCAAACUCUGGGGCCAGUGACGGGUGUGGUCAAAAUGGAUAUGAUGGAUUUCAUUAAGUUCAGUCAUUCUUGGGUUUGCAAAUAAACUUACCAACUUGGCAUCAGAAGCUGCCCACAAUGUGGCCUUUACUGAUCUUCCCAUUAUAUUUGUCCUUAGUUCAUAUUCAAUUUCAUUUAGCCUCUGCACCUUUGUUACUUCUGUUUGAAAUUCUCAAUUUUCUUGAUUGGAUACACUCCUUCUCUUUUUUAAAUCUAUCCCUAGCAAAUUUUGGCACUUCUCUCAGAAUAUUUUACAUAUAUUGUCUUUAAUUUUAGUUCUAUAAGUACUCAUCCUAUCCUUUCCAUGAAAUGGCAAGCCUGGUGAGUUGAUGGUAGAAACCAUGCCUUCUCUCCCUUGUAUUCCAGUGUCUUACACACAGGAGAGGUUCGACAAAUAUUUGUUGAACUACAGGAAAUUAAAAGA
Non-coding RNA from Manis javanica (Malayan pangolin), 1657 nucleotides. The record is from RefSeq and is a predicted model, not a curated record. Lineage: Eukaryota; Metazoa; Chordata; Mammalia; Pholidota; Manidae.